RNAcentral lists this unclassified non-coding RNA (390 nucleotides) under soil metagenome. RNAcentral describes it as "partial contains 5.8S ribosomal RNA, internal transcribed spacer 2, and large subunit ribosomal RNA". The stretch from base 1 to 122 matches the Rfam family "5.8S ribosomal RNA", at positions 35 to 154 of the family's 154-position model. The record is from RNAcentral.
GAUGAAGAACGCAGCGAAAUGCGAUACUUGGUGUGAAUUGCAGAAUCCCGCGAAUCAUCGAGUUUUUGAACGCAAGUUGCGCCCGUAGCCAUUCGGCCGAGGGCACGUCUGCCUGGGUGUCACGCAUCGUUGCCCCCCCAAACUCCGGUUCGGGCGGGGCGGAAGUUGGCCUCCCGUGCGUGCCUGCGCGCGCGGUUAGCCCAAAAGCGAGUCCUCGGCGAUGAGCGCCACGACAAUCGGUGGUUUUUUUACCCUCGUUCCUCGUCGUGCGUGCCCCGUCGCCCGAACGCGCUCUUGCAACCCUUACGCGUCGCCUCGGUGGCGCUCCCAACGCGACCCCAGGUCAGGCGGGACUACCCGCUGAGUUUAAGCAUAUCAAUAAGCGGAGGA